Molecule: ribosomal RNA, 2873 nt
Filed under: Acinetobacter baumannii
Lineage: Bacteria; Pseudomonadati; Pseudomonadota; Gammaproteobacteria; Moraxellales; Moraxellaceae
Description: 23S ribosomal RNA
Rfam family: Bacterial large subunit ribosomal RNA
Source: RNAcentral
AGUCAAGUAAUUAAGUGCAUGUGGUGGAUGCCUUGGCAGUCAGAGGCGAUGAAAGACGUGAUAGCCUGCGAAAAGCUCCGGGGAGGCGGCAAAUAUCCUUUGAUCCGGAGAUGUCUGAAUGGGGGAACCCACCUACUUUAAGGUAGGUAUUGCAACAUGAAUACAUAGUGUUGCAAGGCGAACGAGGGGAAGUGAAACAUCUCAGUACCCUUAGGAAAAGAAAUCAAUUGAGAUUCCCUCAGUAGCGGCGAGCGAACGGGGAUCAGCCCAUUAAGUUAUGUGUGUUUUAGUGGAACGCUCUGGGAAGUGCGAACGUAGAGGGUGAUAUUCCCGUACACGAAAGGGCACACAUAAUGAUGACGAGUAGGGCGAGGCACGUGAAACCUUGUCUGAAUAUGGGGGGACCAUCCUCCAAGGCUAAAUACUCCUGACUGACCGAUAGUGAACCAGUACCGUGAGGGAAAGGCGAAAAGAACCCCUGUGAGGGGAGUGAAAUAGAUCCUGAAACCGCAUGCAUACAAGCAGUGGGAGCACCUUCGUGGUGUGACUGCGUACCUUUUGUAUAAUGGGUCAGCGACUUAUAUUCAGUAGCAAGGUUAACCGUAUAGGGGAGCCGUAGAGAAAUCGAGUCUUAAUAGGGCGUUUAGUUGCUGGGUAUAGACCCGAAACCAGGCGAUCUAUCCAUGAGCAGGUUGAAGGUUGGGUAACACUAACUGGAGGACCGAACCCACUGUCGUUGAAAAGCCAGGGGAUGACUUGUGGAUAGGGGUGAAAGGCUAAUCAAGCCUGGUGAUAGCUGGUUCUCCCCGAAAGCUAUUUAGGUAGCGCCUCGGACGAAUACCAUAGGGGGUAGAGCACUGUUUCGGCUAGGGGGUCAUCCCGACUUACCAAACCGAUGCAAACUCCGAAUACCUAUGAGUACUAUCCGGGAGACAGACUGCGGGUGCUAACGUCCGUAGUCAAGAGGAAAACAAUCCAGACCGCCAGCUAAGGCCCCAAAAUCAUAGUUAAGUGGGAAACGAUGUGGGAAGGCAUAGACAGCUAGGAGGUUGGCUUAGAAGCAGCCACCCUUUAAAGAAAGCGUAAUAGCUCACUAGUCGAGUCGGCCUGCGCGGAAGAUGUAACGGGGCUAAAACUAUGUGCCGAAGCUGCGGAUNNNNNNNNNNNNNNNNNNNNNNNNNNNNNNNNNNNNNNNNNAUGCUGGAGGUAUCAGAAGUGCGAAUGCUGACGUGAGUAACGACAAAACGGGUGAAAAACCCGUUCGCCGAAAGACCAAGGGUUCCAGUCCAACGUUAAUCGGGGCUGGGUGAGUCGACCCCUAAGGCGAGGCCGAAAGGCGUAGUCGAUGGGAAAAUGGUUAAUAUUCCAUUACUUCUGUGUAAUGCGAUGAGAGGACGGAGAAGGCUAAAUCAGCCUGGCGUUGGUUGUCCAGGUGAAAGGAUGUAGGCAUGUAUCUUAGGCAAAUCCGGGGUACUCUAUGCUGAGAUCUGAUAGCAAGCUGUACUUGUACAGCGAAGUGGUUGAUGCCAUGCUUCCAGGAAAAGUCUCUAAGCUUCAGUUACACAGGAAUCGUACCCGAAACCGACACAGGUGGUCAGGUCGAGUAGACCAAGGCGCUUGAGAGAACUCUGCUGAAGGAACUAGGCAAAAUGGUACCGUAACUUCGGGAGAAGGUACGCUGUUGUUGGUGAUGGAACUCGCUUCCUGAGCUGACGACAGCCGCAGAAACCAGGCCGCUGCAACUGUUUAUUAAAAACAUAGCACUCUGCAAACACGAAAGUGGACGUAUAGGGUGUGAUGCCUGCCCGGUGCUGGAAGGUUAAUUGAUGGGGUUAGCGUAAGCGAAGCUCUUGAUCGAAGCCCCAGUAAACGGCGGCCGUAACUAUAACGGUCCUAAGGUAGCGAAAUUCCUUGUCGGGUAAGUUCCGACCUGCACGAAUGGCAUAAUGAUGGCGGCGCUGUCUCCAGCAGAGGCUCAGUGAAAUCGAAAUCGCUGUGAAGAUGCAGUGUACCCGCGGCUAGACGGAAAGACCCCGUGAACCUUUACUGCAGCUUGACACUGAACUUUGACCUUACUUGUGUAGGAUAGGUGGGAGGCUUUGAAGCUGGAACGCUAGUUCCAGUGGAGCCGUCCUUGAAAUACCACCCUGGUAAUGUUGAGGUUCUAACUCUGUCCCGUGAUCCGGGACGAGGACCGUGUCUGGUGGGUAGUUUGACUGGGGCGGUCUCCUCCUAAAGAGUAACGGAGGAGUACGAAGGUGCGCUCAGCGUGGUCGGAAAUCACGCGUAGAGUAUAAAGGCAAAAGCGCGCUUAACUGCGAGACCCACAAGUCGAGCAGGUACGAAAGUAGGUCUUAGUGAUCCGGUGGUUCUGUAUGGAAGGGCCAUCGCUCAACGGAUAAAAGGUACUCUGGGGAUAACAGGCUGAUACCGCCCAAGAGUUCAUAUCGACGGCGGUGUUUGGCACCUCGAUGUCGGCUCAUCUCAUCCUGGGGCUGAAGCAGGUCCCAAGGGUAUGGCUGUUCGCCAUUUAAAGAGGUACGCGAGCUGGGUUUAGAACGUCGUGAGACAGUUCGGUCCCUAUCUACCGUGGGCGCUGGAAAUUUGAGAGGAUCUGCUCCUAGUACGAGAGGACCAGAGUGGACGAACCUCUGGUGUACCGGUUGUGACGCCAGUCGCAUCGCCGGGUAGCUAUGUUCGGAAGGGAUAACCGCUGAAAGCAUCUAAGCGGGAAGCCUACCUCAAGAUAAGAUUUCCCUAGGACUUUAUGUCCUCUAAAGAGCCGUUCGAGACUAGGACGUUGAUAGGUUGGAUGUGGAAGCAUAGUGAUAUGUGAAGCUGACCAAUACUAAUUGCUCGUGAGGCUUGACUAU